AGAGUUUGAUCAUGGCUCAGAUUGAACGCUGGCGGCAUGCCUUACACAUGCAAGUCGAACGGUAACGGGCCUUCGGGUGCCGACGAGUGGCGAACGGGUGAGUAAUGCAUCGGAACGUACCUUUCAGUGGGGGAUAACGUAGCGAAAGUUACGCUAAUACCGCAUAUUCUGUGAGCAGGAAAGCAGGGGGUCGCAAGACCUUGCGCUCUGGGAGCGGCCGAUGUCGGAUUAGCUAGUUGGUGGGGUAAAGGCCUACCAAGGCGACGAUCCGUAGCGGGUCUGAGAGGAUGAUCCGCCACACUGGGACUGAGACACGGCCCAGACUCCUACGGGAGGCAGCAGUGGGGAAUUUUGGACAAUGGGCGAAAGCCUGAUCCAGCCAUGCCGCGUGAGUGAAGAAGGCCUUCGGGUUGUAAAGCUCUUUCGCCCGCGAAGAUAAUGACUGUAGCGGGAGAAGAAGCCCCGGCUAACUUCGUG
This 477-nucleotide ribosomal RNA is filed under the name uncultured bacterium. Its description in RNAcentral is "bacterial SSU rRNA". It matches the Rfam family "Bacterial small subunit ribosomal RNA", at positions 8 to 507 of the family's 1533-position model. The record is from RNAcentral.